This is a long non-coding RNA of Triticum aestivum (bread wheat), 702 nucleotides long. RefSeq lists it as uncharacterized. The record is from RefSeq and is a predicted model, not a curated record. NCBI's taxonomy places the organism in Eukaryota, Viridiplantae, Streptophyta, Magnoliopsida, Poales, Poaceae. The transcript is spliced from 2 exons.
GUGUUCUGUUUCUUCCUCCUCCAUUAUUACUUUGGAUGUCUGGCCGAGGGGCUCCCGCCGACGGGCCGCGUCGUCGCCGGUGGUGCCGAAACCAUCGAACCUUGCCUUUCAUGCUUCCCGUGGAUAGUAGUAAGUAGCGUAUAUAUUGCUUGCUUGACAUGGCUAUAAUAUUCUACAAUCGCGUGUUAUAUGUGUGAUGCCAAGAAGUUUCAUCAUUACAAUAUUCUAUCCAGUCGUGUAGAUUCUUGAAACAUAUGUUCAGCCUAAAUAGCCUGUCGCUAGGUACAGAGGAACCAUAACAAGAGUGGGAGCCUGAGAAAGAUUUCAGGUGACCAGCGAUAAUUUAUCUUCAUUACUCUCAUGUGUACAAUUUCAUAGAAUUGCUUUAAUAUUUGUUGCAGUGUUAGAACGAAUUGGAGAUACGCAACGUAGAGUCAGUUGUUCUCAGAAGCUAUUUUUGGCAUGAGAGGGCUUCCACUGUUGUGUAUUUGUACCAUUCAAUUUGCAAACUUAUCAUUCUAUUUCAGAUUUUGCAGGCAACCUUGAGCUCGAUUAUCCACUGGGGAACCUUCAGGUAACCAUGAGGACAACGGAUAUUUGGCCACCCAUGUGAAAGUACAAUAUGGUCCUUUCCAGGUUCAUCCAAAAAGCGGAGAUUUUUCCAUUAAACUAGAUUUAAAGGUUAGUCAUUUAUAAGCGUUA